Molecule: ribosomal RNA, 427 nt
Filed under: uncultured bacterium
Lineage: Bacteria
Description: partial 16S ribosomal RNA
Rfam family: Bacterial small subunit ribosomal RNA
Source: RNAcentral
UGGGGAAUAUUGCACAAUGGGCGCAAGCCUGAUGCAGCCAUGCCGCGUAUAUGAAGAAGGCCUUCGGGUUGUAAAGUACUUUCAGCGAGGAGGAAGGCGUUGUGGUUAAUAACCGCAACGAUUGACGUUACUCGCAGAAGAAGCACCGGCUAACUCCGUGCCAGCAGCCGCGGUAAUACGGAGGGUGCAAGCGUUAAUCGGAAUUACUGGGCGUAAAGCGCACGCAGGCGGUCUGUCAAGUCGGAUGUGAAAUCCCCGGGCUCAACCUGGGAACUGCAUCCGAAACUGGCAGGCUAGAGUCUUGUAGAGGGGGGUAGAAUUCCAGGUGUAGCGGUGAAAUGCGUAGAGAUCUGGAGGAAUACCGGUGGCGAAGGCGGCCCCCUGGACAAAGACUGACGCUCAGGUGCGAAAGCGUGGGGAGCAAACA